Long non-coding RNA from Oncorhynchus keta (chum salmon), 1211 nucleotides. RefSeq lists it as uncharacterized. The record is from RefSeq and is a predicted model, not a curated record. The transcript has 3 exons. NCBI's taxonomy places the organism in Eukaryota, Metazoa, Chordata, Actinopteri, Salmoniformes, Salmonidae.
UCAACUAGCCUACCUGGUUAAAUAAAGGUGUUCUCAACUAGCCUGCCUGGUUAAAUAAAGGUGUUCUCAACUAGCCUACCUGGUUAAAUAAAGGUGUUCUCAACUAGCCUGCCUGGUUAAAUAAAGGUGUUCUCAACUAGCCUGCCUGGUUAAAUAAAGGUGUUCUCAACUAGCCUACCUGGUUAAAUAAAGGUGUUCUCAACUAGCCUGCCUGGUUAAAUAAAGGUGUUCUCAACUAGCCUGCCUGGUUAAAUAAAGGUGUUCUCAACUAGCCUACCUGGUUAAAUAAAGGUGUUCUCAACUAGCCUGCCUGGUUAAAUAAAGGUGUUCUCAACUAGCCUGCCUGGUUAAAUAAAGGUGUUCUCAACUAGCCUACCUGGUUAAAUAAAGGUGUUCUCAACUAGCCUGCCUGGUUAAAUAAAGGUGUUCUCAACUAGCCUACCUGGUUAAAUAAAGGUGUUCUCAACUAGCCUGCCUGGUUAAAUAAAGGUGUUCUCAACUAGCCUACCUGGUUAAAUAAAGGUGUUCUCAACUAGCCUGCCUGGUUAAAUAAAGGUGUUCUCAACUAGCCUACCUGGUUAAAUAAAGGUGUUCUCAACUAGCCUGCCUGGUUAAAUAAAGGUGUUCUCAACUAGCCUACCUGGUUAAAUAAAGGUGUUCUCAACUAGCCUGCCUGGUUAAAUAAAGGUGUUCUCAACUAGCCUGCCUGGUUAAAUAAAGGUGUUCUCAACUAGCCUACCUGGUUAAAUAAAGGUGUUCUCAACUAGCCUACCUGGUUAAAUAAAGGUGUUCUCAACUAGCCUGCCUGGUUAAAUAAAGGUGUUCUCAACUAGCCUACCUGGUUAAAUAAAGGUGUUCUCAACUAGCCUACCUGGUUAAAUAAAGGUGUUCUCAACUAGCCUGCCUGGUUAAAUAAAGGUGUUCUCAACUAGCCUACCUGGUUAAAUAAAGGUGUUCUCAACUAGCCUGCCUGGUUAAAUAAAGGUGUUCUCAACUAGCCUACCUGGUUAAAUAAAGGUGUUCUCAACUAGCCUGCCUGGUUAAAUAAAGGUGUUCUCAACUAGCCUACCUGGUUAAAUAAAGGUGUUCUCAACUAGCCUACCUGGUUAAAUAAAGGUGUUCUCAACUAGCCUGCCUGGUUAAAUAAAGGUGUUCUCAACUAGCCUACCUGGUUAAAUAAAGGUGUUCUCAACUAGCCUACCUGGUUAAAU